UCCCUGGUGGCUCAGACAGUAAAGCUUCUGCCUGCAGUGCAGGAGACCUGGGUUCGAUCCCUGGGUUGGGAA
This is a transfer RNA of Ovis aries (sheep), 72 nucleotides long. It matches the Rfam family "tRNA". Rfam says of the family: Transfer RNA (tRNA) molecules are approximately 80 nucleotides in length. The record is from Rfam. Lineage: Eukaryota; Metazoa; Chordata; Mammalia; Artiodactyla; Bovidae.